UGGGGAAUGUUGCACAAUGGGGGAAACCCUGAUGCAGCGACGCCGCGUGAUUUAGAAGGCCUUCGGGUUGUAAAAAUCUUUUCUAUGGGAAGAAAAUGACAGUACCAUAGGAAUAAGGACCGGCUAAUUACGUGCCAGCAGCCGCGGUAAUACGUAAGGUCCGAGCGUUGUCCGGAAUCAUUGGGCGUAAAGGGUACGUAGGCGGGUAAGCAAGUUAGAAGUGAAAUCCUAUAGCGCAACUAUAGUAAGCUUUUAAAACUGCUCAUCUUGAGGUAUGGAAGGGAAAGUGGAAUUCCUAGUGUAGCGGUGAAAUGCGCAGAUAUUAGGAGGAAUACCGGUGGCGAAGGCGACUUUCUGGCCAUAACCUGACGCUGAGGUACGAAAGCGUGGGUAGCAAACAGG
RNAcentral lists this ribosomal RNA (402 nucleotides) under bacterium. Its description in RNAcentral is "partial 16S ribosomal RNA". It matches the Rfam family "Bacterial small subunit ribosomal RNA", at positions 355 to 776 of the family's 1533-position model. The record is from RNAcentral.